ACAGAGCUCCCUCGCAGGGGGUAGCCACCAAAGGAGAAGACGUGGGAGUGGUCAGCGGUGACGAGGGUCAGCGUGUCCUCCUCACUGCCCCAGCCCUUGGCCUUGGGGUCUCACGUCAAUGUCCAUGUUGGAGAUGAGCUGCGUGGCGAUGUCCUGGCAGCCCUCCCGGCGGGCGGAGAAAGGCAUGUUGGAGUCCGAGUACCAGUUGCGGUUCACCGUGUGCGCCGGGCCCCAGCUCACCUGCCUUCUUGGCCCGGUUCAUCACGGAGACGACCUCGUUGCCGCGGGUCGUGUUGCACUGGUUAAAGCGGGCCGCUGCGCUCAAGCCGAUGGUCUGGAAGUUGCCCUUGACCCCGCACAGGAUCCUGGCGGCUGUCACCGUAGACACUCCCAUCCCUGAGGGAGCAGAAAUGUGUGAGGCUUGGGCCCCAGGGCUGUCCCGGAAGCCCCGACGGUCCGGGUGCCAGGGCUGCGAGGGCUGCGAGGGCUGCGGGCCGGACAGCCUUGCUCACUCACCGUCGCCCAGGAAGAGGAUGAGGUUCUUGGCGGCUGUCCGUGCGGGCUGCAGCUUCUUGGCGGCAUCCAGGGCCUUGGCUGCCUGACGGUUCCAGAAGGCCGGGUUCUCCUCCUCAACUGGCCAGGGGGAGAGCAAAGAUCAGGUCAGCCUGGGCUGGGGGGCUCCCUGUGUGUAGGGGCAGCGGGGGGAGCCUCAUUACCUGGGAUGAUGCCCAGGGAGAGCUGUAGCCUCAGGCCCAGCAGCAACAGCAGCACCCAGGGUCC
Non-coding RNA from Saimiri boliviensis boliviensis (Bolivian squirrel monkey), 780 nucleotides. The record is from RefSeq and is a predicted model, not a curated record. NCBI's taxonomy places the organism in Eukaryota, Metazoa, Chordata, Mammalia, Primates, Cebidae.